This is a long non-coding RNA of Zalophus californianus (California sea lion), 368 nucleotides long. RefSeq lists it as uncharacterized. The record is from RefSeq and is a predicted model, not a curated record. The transcript has 4 exons. Lineage: Eukaryota; Metazoa; Chordata; Mammalia; Carnivora; Otariidae.
AAUUUAUUGGCAGGUUUUUGGAUUAUCUUAUGGAAUCAAAGUUGGAUCUGAACAAUCAAGAGCACGGAAAGGGGAGGAACAGAGGAAAUUGCAAUAUCUGAUGUCUUAAUAUGCAAUAUGAAGUGUUCCUUCAAGUAUUUUCUCAAGAAGCAGAAGAGGAUGAGGAAAUUACAGACAGCUCUUGACUGCAGACCACCCGUUGAAAGUCAAGCUGACAACCCCUCCACAGCUUUUCAUCAGUACUGCCAGAAGCAGUUUGCAAGACCCUCCUGGGAGAAGUGCCUUCCCUGUACGUGGAGGAAAAGAGCAGCCUUUUCUCUCAGAUGGAGAGAGAAGAAUCCAAAUCAACAGGCCUACUGAAUUUCUCC